AUUGAACGCUGGCGGCAUGCCUUACACAUGCAAGUCGAACGGCAGCACGGACUUCGGUCUGGUGGCGAGUGGCGAACGGGUGAGUAAUGCAUCGGAACGUGCCAUUGAGUGGGGGAUAACGUAGCGAAAGUUGCGCUAAUACCGCAUAUUCUGUGAGCAGGAAAGCAGGGGACCGCAAGGCCUUGCGCUCUUUGAGCGGCCGAUGUCAGAUUAGCUAGUUGGUGAGGUAAAGGCUUACCAAGGCGACGAUCUGUAGCGGGUCUGAGAGGAUGAUCCGCCACACUGGAACUGAGACACGGUCCAGACUCCUACGGGAGGCAGCAGUGGGGAAUUUUGGACAAUGGGGGCAACCCUGAUCCAGCCAUGCCGCGUGAGUGAAGAAGGCC
RNAcentral lists this ribosomal RNA (386 nucleotides) under uncultured bacterium. Its description in RNAcentral is "bacterial SSU rRNA". It matches the Rfam family "Bacterial small subunit ribosomal RNA", at positions 30 to 416 of the family's 1533-position model. The record is from RNAcentral.